This 465-nucleotide ribosomal RNA is filed under the name uncultured bacterium. RNAcentral describes it as "partial 16S ribosomal RNA". It matches the Rfam family "Bacterial small subunit ribosomal RNA", at positions 28 to 507 of the family's 1533-position model. The record is from RNAcentral.
GACGAACGCUGGCGGCGUGCUUAACACAUGCAAGUCGAACGGAAAGGCCCUGCUUGCAGGGUACUCGAGUGGCGAACGGGUGAGUAACUCGUGGGUGAUCUGCCCUGCACUUCGGGAUAAGCCUGGGAAACUGGGUCUAAUACCGGAUAGGAGCCAUUUUUAGUGUGAUGGUUGGAAAGUUUUUUCGGUGUAGGAUGAGCUCGCGGCCUAUCAGCUUGUUGGUGGGGUAAUGGCCUACCAAGGCGGCGACGGGUAGCCGGCCUGAGAGGGUGGACGGCCACAUUGGGACUGAGAUACGGCCCAGACUCCUACGGGAGGCAGCAGUGGGGAAUAUUGCACAAUGGGCGCAAGCCUGAUGCAGCGACGCCGCGUGGGGGAUGACGGCCUUCGGGUUGUAAACGCCUUUCGCUAGGGACGAAGCUUUUUGUGACGGUACCUAGAUAAGAAGCACCGGCUAACUACGUG